UUCACGCUCCUCUGCAGUCUGCCGCCUGCACCGGAGGACAAGCCGUUAUCGACGCUUUGGGGGCGCUCCUUGGAAACAGCCUGCUGAGCUUUCGACCUCCUGCGCUGAGCCCCGUGCCCUGCUGGGACUCAACGGACCAGCCGGUUUCCUCUGCGGCGGUCCAGGGAGGCAAUGACUCACUUAUUCCAUUUAAUGCCUCCCCUCCACCCCGUCAACUGAGAUCAAACGUCUGUCUCUAAGGUGGACAGACCUAAUGGGAGUCCCCGGGGCCUCCAGAAGCAAUUUGUAGGCGAUCGAUGAAGCCGAGCGAAGCCAGCAAGGGCCUCUCCCAGCGGCGGCCACCGGCCUCCUUCCCGCCGCCCCUUCUAGCCUUUCCUAUCUGUGUGUCUGUCUCUCCUCUUCUUCUUGCCCACAUUUCAAACUAUUUCUCUCCUUUUAGGCUUUGUGCUUUUAUCUCCUGUUUUCUCUCACCCUACUCCUCCCUUCUCUCAGAAUUUAAGGGAAUUGGUUUGAAAUUAAAUAGAAAGUUUUAAACCUC
Non-coding RNA from Sus scrofa (pig), 538 nucleotides. The record is from RefSeq and is a predicted model, not a curated record. NCBI's taxonomy places the organism in Eukaryota, Metazoa, Chordata, Mammalia, Artiodactyla, Suidae.